AAAUAGGAAAACACAACGCCAAAUAGGAAAACACAACGCCAAAUAGGAAAACACAACGCCAAAUAGGAAAACAACGACAUUAACUUCUAACGGAAAAGGUAGGGCCUAUCUAGCAGAGGACGGAACGGAACCUCCUGAUUGGACAGAAGGACCGCCUGUCUUUUAACAGGAAGGAGGGGUGAAAAACACGGAAAAGCGCCUAUUUUCAAAACAUGAGUACUCCCGAAGAUACUUUCGCUAUUAUAAUGAAUUAUUUUGAUGCAGGGCAUACAUACGACGUGGUAGUUGAUAUGUUGUCAACCAAUCACAACAUCAGGAUGAUUAUACACACGGGUUGUACAGAAGGAACAACUAUUCACAACUGGAUGAGGUGAGACGUGCCAUCCUUACAGAGCUGCAUGGACCAGGGCAACUAUUCCGCUAUCGGACUAUGUGGCAAGUACAGCAAAAACACAAGCUACGUAUUAAACGACACACAGUGAUGAGACUGCUGAAGCAACUAAAUCCACAAGGAACGGAUGCGAGAACACUACAGACCAUGGGACUGAAAAUGGCAUCAUGGCUGCAAUACAGUGUACCCUCAGACACGAGCAUACAGACUGCGGCCGCUUAUAAGUGUAAUUGUGUUACAGCAAAAAGUGUUCAUCUGCCAAAAACUGAUUUCAGUCAAAUAAAAAAGUAUUGCAGCAGGGCUCAAUUUUGGAUGGACCUGUUUGGAGACCUGAGAGACUCUGGACAUUUUAAUGGCAGCCAUGAACUUAAGGACUUAUUGAGAUUCUGCUUCAGUAAUGUUCUGCAAAAAGACCUGGAUGAGAGCACAGACCUCUGGAAUAAGCACAGGAUUACACUCUCCAGACAUGCAUCAUGUCCUGGGGGAACUACAGACGAACUCUAUCUCAUAAAUUCCACCACACAUAUUAUUGGAAAUACAUUUGGAUUUGAAGUCAUGUUUUCCCUUUAUGGUAAAUUAUUGUGUCACUAUGCAGGUUUGGUUCAAAGGACUGGAUACGUUUCCAGAGUCAAGGCAAACUCUUCAUUCAUGCAGUGAUCCAGACAUCCAGGAUUAUCUUCAACAGACUGUUGAGCGAAAUGGAUUACAGCAGCCACAUAAUUGGGAGUCAGCCUCAGAACUUUAUGUCACCUUGAAAGAAAUAGCUGGCCUAUAAAUAUGGUCUACUGCAGCCCACUCUUAAAGGCCAGAUGUUAAAGGAAAACAUUCUCAAAUGUGGCUUAGCGGUUUGAGUAUCAUGUUUGGCAAGUGGAGUUCAGUAUAUGCAGUGUCAUAUCAGAGUGGAGACAUACAUUAAACUCAAAUGUAACUCCCAAACUAUAUUUGUUUAUUUUCGGAUUCACCAUCGAGUUAACUGUGUGUCAAUUGUAGGUCUGAACAACCAAAGAAACGUGGUUCUUUUCAAGAGGUAUUGUUAACAAGCUUGUUUGCAAGCACAACAUGUUAUACACUGUUUCAAAUGUGAAACUACAUACAUUUUAGCUGAGUACAAUUUUACUGUUACUUGUAAUGUGACCUGUACUUAAAAAAAUGUCUGUGAUUUUUCAUUGAACAAAGUAAUGAACAGAAAUAAUACACAUUAAAAUACUUUGAACUGAG
Molecule: long non-coding RNA, 1609 nt
Organism: Esox lucius (northern pike)
Lineage: Eukaryota; Metazoa; Chordata; Actinopteri; Esociformes; Esocidae
Exons: 2
Source: RefSeq, a predicted model, not a curated record